CGCCUCCCCCGCCCUGCUCGGGGUCUCCUUCCGGCCGGCGCGCCCGGGACGUGACCUCGCGGGCACGCGCCGGAGCCACCUUGGCGGAGGUGCCCGCGGCCCCCGCACAGUUCCAGGAGAAUGUCUCUGGAAAGGAAGCCCAACGCCCGGUCUGGCUGGGAAGAGGCAAAAAAGGGGAGGGGAGCAGGAGUGGAGGCCGGGCGGGCCUGGGGAGGAAGUCUGCAGCCCGGGCUGCCGAGGGUGUGGUGUCUGUGUUUGCACCUUUGGAAUGCAGCUGAUUCACUCCGGGGAGCCCUCUGCAGCCACUGCUGCUGCCUUGGAUCUGACAUCUGGAGGCUGAAUUCCAGGAGGAGAGAGACGGAUUCCUGCAAGCAGAUGCCAACUUUGAAGGUCAAACUGAGCGAUGGAGCUGCUUUCGCAGGAGGCCCAGAGCAUCCAACACUGCCCCACCCCAGGAUUCUGGGAGAGAAUCACACACAUCGUGGCCUUCCGUGUCUGGCUUCUCUCACUGAGCAUCGUGUCUUCGAGGUUCCUCCGUGCUAUGGCAGUUCAGGUCGUGAUCUCAGGGUUAUGAGAUCGAGCCCCAC
Zalophus californianus (California sea lion) is the source of this 587-nucleotide long non-coding RNA. RefSeq lists it as uncharacterized. The transcript has 4 exons. The record is from RefSeq and is a predicted model, not a curated record. Lineage: Eukaryota; Metazoa; Chordata; Mammalia; Carnivora; Otariidae.